RNAcentral lists this non-coding RNA (1400 nucleotides) under Pongo abelii (Sumatran orangutan). Lineage: Eukaryota; Metazoa; Chordata; Mammalia; Primates; Hominidae. The record is from RNAcentral.
UUCCGCGGCCCAGCUGGUUUGUUUUCAACAAUACGGUCAAAGCCACACGCCCACCAUUAUUUACGCCGCCAGCCAGCGCCGGCACUUCGGCGGGAGGAAGGAAGCACCUAAGGCGCUGGGGGCGGAAACGCUGAGGUGGAGGGGUGCGCCUCAGGCGAGAGCUGGCCGGCGCCGACUGGGCCUGGGGCAGCGGCCGCAGCUCCCCGCCCGGGACCGCGCACAAAGGCCUGAGGUCCGGGCCGCACUCACCGAAGUCCAGGAACUGCUUCAUGGAGAGCGGGGACGGCGAGAAGCGCGCGUAGAAGUCCACCUGGCCCGGAACGCCGCGCUCGGACGCCGGGCUGGAGUCCGAGUCCGAGCUGAAGCUGCGGCUGGGGCCGGCGGCGCGCAGCCCCGGGCCCGGGCCGGCCAAGGCGGCUCCGCGAAGCAGCCGCGCCAGCCUCAUGCCGAGUCCCGCUAGAGAAGCCACAGCCCGGGCUCCAGGUUUCCCCGCUCCUCUGCCGAGUGGGUUGAAGGCAAAUACUUGAAGUUGCAAUCCAAGGUCAGGAAAAAGGAAUCAAGAGGUCACAAUCCUUCUCUGAUGAUGGCUCAGAAAGCUGGAAGACACUCAACAUUGAAUCCUGGGGCUCCGUGCCAUGCUUGCUAGGAGAAACAGCCACCGUGAGUCCAUGUUUCAGAUCUCAAGUGAACAGCAUGGUAUCGGGGAACACUGUCAUCGUACCUAGAGCGUUUAAAGAAUCCACACUAGAGAAGAGGGAAAGAGAAAGAGAAACAAAUUAAUCUCACAAAGAAGCAAGUACACUAAAUGGGAAUGUCUAAGCUUUCUGUUCAGCUAUGUCUACCUCUGGACUAAGGGGAAAAAGACAUGGUUUUCUUUUAAGAAAGAACCAAGAGGUUGAAAUGAAAGAAGAGCCAGUGGGGAUCAACGGAAGAGAACAGCUGUAAAACUGGAAGAAAAGUCCAUUUUCAUCUUCUCUUUACAUUUUAUAACAAAUGUAGGCUACCUCUUUACUAACAAUUUAAGAGUUUAUGAAAACAGUGCUUCCAUAUUUAAAAAUAAUCACAAUAUUAUAUGUAAAAUAUCUGAUUAUCAGAUUAGAUUAAGGAUAAUUUUUAAAAGGCAUAAACCAAAGAUUAUUUCAUGCCCCUUUCCCACUAAUAAAAUGCAAAUCAUGUCACAAGUAUUUUACAAAUUACUAUUUGAAUAUGCCAGUGUUCCAACAGGUCAACUUUAUAAUCUUUUUCUCUCCUCUGAGGCUCUAGUACACCUAUCACUUCUCUCGUUAGCCAGGAGGUCAUUUAUGUUGCCUGGAUUUGCUAUUGUGCGUGUAAUUAAGCUAUUUCAUUAAUAAAUCACAUAGUAACUGUCUCCUGCAAUAAAAAUCAUGUGCUGCAUAGGA